AUUAUUUUAAGAUUAUUUUUUAUUGUUGAAAAAAUUAAAAAUAAAUUGUUUUUAACAAAAAUUAAAAUUUAUAAUAUUUCAUUUUUUGGUUUUUUGUUUUAAAUUAAAAUAAUAAAUAUGGGGGAAAAAAAAAUUUUGUUAUAAAUUAUAUUAGUUUAUUUUAAUUAAAAAUAUUUUUUAUUAAAUUUGUUUUUUUUAUUUUUUUAUAAAAAAUAUUAAUUUAAUUAUUAUUAUUGAGUUUAAUUUAGUUAUUUUUAAAAAAAUUUUGUAUAAAAUAAAUUUGAUAAUAAAUGUUUUUUAAAUUCUUUGGGGGUUUAGUUUAUGAUUUUUUGUUUCUGCUCAUUGUUAAAUAAAAGCACUUUUAGCGUGAUUGUCAAAAGGUAAA
RNAcentral lists this ribosomal RNA (385 nucleotides) under Meloidogyne enterolobii. RNAcentral describes it as "partial 16S ribosomal RNA". Lineage: Eukaryota; Metazoa; Nematoda; Chromadorea; Rhabditida; Meloidogynidae. The record is from RNAcentral.